GACGAACGCUGGCGGCAUGCCUAAUACAUGCAAGUCGAGCGAACAGAUGAAGUGCUUGCACUUCUGACGUUAGCGGCGAACGGGUGAGUAACACGUAAGGAAUCUACCUAUAAGCGGGGGAUAACAUUCGGAAACGGGUGCUAAUACCGCAUAAUAUCUUCUUCCGCAUGGAAGAAGAUUGAAAGACGGCUCGGCUGUCACUUAUAGAUGACCUUGCGGUGCAUUAGUUAGUUGGUGGGGUAAUGGCCUACCAAGACGAUGAUGCAUAGCCGACCUGAGAGGGUGAUCGGCCACAUUGGGACUGAGACACGGCCCAAACUCCUACGGGAGGCAGCAGUAGGGAAUCUUCCGCAAUGGGCGAAAGCCUGACGGAGCAAUGCCGCGUGAGUGAAGAAGGCCUUCGGGUCGUAAAACUCUGUUAUAAGAGAAGAACAAAUUGUAGAGUAACUGCUACGGUCUUGACGGUAUCUUAUCAGAAAGCCACGGCUAACUACGUGCCAGCAGCCGCGGUAA
This 513-nucleotide ribosomal RNA is filed under the name uncultured bacterium. RNAcentral's name for it is "partial 16S ribosomal RNA". It matches the Rfam family "Bacterial small subunit ribosomal RNA", at positions 28 to 523 of the family's 1533-position model. The record is from RNAcentral.